RNAcentral lists this ribosomal RNA (460 nucleotides) under uncultured bacterium. Its description in RNAcentral is "partial 16S ribosomal RNA". It matches the Rfam family "Bacterial small subunit ribosomal RNA", at positions 338 to 795 of the family's 1533-position model. The record is from RNAcentral.
CCUACGGGUGGCAGCAGUGAGGAAUAUUGGUCAAUGGCCGUAAGUCUGAACCAGCCAAGUAGCGUGCAGGAUGACUGCCCUAUGGGUUGUAAACUUCUUUUAUGCGGGGAUAAACUUAUCCACGUGUGGAUGAUUGCAGGUACCGCAUGAAUAAGGACCGGCUAAUUCCGUGCCAGCAGCCGCGGUAAUACGGAAGGUCCGGGCGUUAUCCGGAUUUAUUGGGUUUAAAGGGAGCGUAGGCCGGUCUUUAAGCGUGUCGUGAAAUGUUGCGGCUCAACCGUGACAGUGCGGCGCGAACUGGAGGUCUUGAGUGCGCGGGAGGUAGGCGGAAUUCGUGGUGUAGCGGUGAAAUGCUUAGAUAUCACGAAGAACUCCGAUUGCGAAGGCAGCCUGCCGUAGCGUUACUGACGCUGAGGCUCGAAGGUGCGGGUAUCGAACAGGAUUAGAUACCUCUGUAGUC